CAGCAGCCACGGGAAUACGUAGGUGGCAAGCGUUGUCCGGAAUUAUUGGGCGUAAAGGGCUCGCAGGCGGUUCCUUAAGUCUGAUGUGAAAGCCCCCGGCUCAACCGGGGAGGGUCAUUGGAAACUGGGAAACUUGAGUGCAGAAGAGGAGAGUGGAAUUCCACGUGUAGCGGUGAAAUGCGUAGAGAUGUGGAGGAACACCAGUGGCGAAGGCGACUCUCUGGUCUGUAACUGACGCUGAGGAGCGAAAGCGUGGGGAGCGAACAGGAUUAGAUACCCCUGUAGUCCCUGUCUCUUAUAC
RNAcentral lists this ribosomal RNA (301 nucleotides) under uncultured bacterium. Its description in RNAcentral is "partial 16S ribosomal RNA". It matches the Rfam family "Bacterial small subunit ribosomal RNA", at positions 509 to 807 of the family's 1533-position model. The record is from RNAcentral.